This 2102-nucleotide long non-coding RNA is filed under the name Gouania willdenowi (blunt-snouted clingfish). RNAcentral's name for it is "lncRNA (ENSGWIG00000022540.1)". The record is from RNAcentral. Lineage: Eukaryota; Metazoa; Chordata; Actinopteri; Blenniiformes; Gobiesocidae.
CUUUGACAGAUUGCCAGAAUGCACCGCGACCGACCAAAAAGAACCAAUCAGAACCAGGAUUGUGCUGGAUGGGCUGUCUGACAGCUGUUGCUCACAGUCCCCGCCCUUUUCCUGGAGCUAGCACGCCAUCUGUUUAGAAGAUGGAAUUGGUGACUUUUCUGCUUGAAAGCGGUAUGAGGUGUCACACUCUUCCAAGUAAAACAUUAAAAGUCUCCACCCUAUAAUCUCCUGGCUUACACAAGGUUUUACUGAAGAUGCCUCACGUGACAGCUGAAAACAAAAUGCUUGAUGUCAAGUCAGUACUGAGCAGGUAAGGUGAAAAAGGUAAAGAGAGGAGGAGCAAAGAAACCCAAACCUACAGUUAAGUUUAUGAGGGUUUCAGUUUCUCCUCAGCAACUGAAGAAGAAGCCACCACUUGGACUUUACCAUGUUCAGUCAGAAGCGUAAGCGGCCUUUGUGGGAUGGACAUGAGGAACCAACCUCUCCACGCACUAAGAGGGGCUUCAGUGACCUGAGAAGUCUGAGGGACAGAUUUCCAUAUCGCACGUCAAUCAGAGCUGCAGAGGAAUGUAACCCCGUUGACGGGGACCUCUCUGAGCGGCUCUCACCCUGGACUGACACACACCUCUCUGUGAAAAAAGUUCUCGAGCACAUCCGCUCAAAACAAGCCAUCAGUAACGUUUUACUCAGUGACGUAGUGACUAAGAAGUUCUUGGGUUUCCACCUUGACAUCACCAGUGAGUUCGGCCCAGAGGACAAACAGCAUUCAUGGGCUGUGCUGGAGAAGCAGGACGAAGUCAUCAUGUAUGGGCUUUACUAUCCAAACUACAACAGUAAGAAGCACAGUGAGGACGUCGUCAUCAGGCAAACACAGGACCUGAUAGAGUCAGAGUCUUCAGCCUGUGAGGAUUGGAACGUGUACGUGUUUAGCAUGAACAGUCCAUGCUUGGCCAGGAAAGACGAGCCAUGCAUGCUGAGGCUGAUCCAUAAAGCAGAGGAAUGGUGGAAUGUGCACCGGGUCAAGACUCAUAUCGCCUUUGUCCGAAGCUGGGGCUUUAAGGGAAAAAAAGAAAAUGUCUUCAAAGACAUCACCUACCGACAGGUGGAGUGCAUCAACCAGAGUGUGGACUAUGAGAGCUACAUGAACGCAUCUGGAAAUGACCUCAGUCCUGUGUGUGAAAAUGUGUUUAGCGUCACCAAAGAUCUGCUUAUGUCUAAGGACGUCAACAAGUUCCCUUUGACGACGACUGUGCAGAAGCAAGACCGAAAGGGUUACUUUAAAAACAUGCACAGCGUUUCAGAAGGCAGAGCUGAGGAUGAUAGAACUGUGUUGUGUGAGGAAAUAAAGUCUGUCAUCCAGGCUGCAGAGGCUCUGCUGUCAGGGCUCGCUGAGAUGACUUUGGAGGAAUACUUUAAAAGGGGACAGAUGUUCGUCUGUGAACACACCUUCAGCUUAGGAGUGAGUGACGCCCUCGAGGAUCGACUCCGACAAGUAUUUCAGCAGUGCUGGAUAGAGAUGGUAGAGGACAUGUACGCAGAGUUCAUCAGGAACCGUCUGACGGAAGCUUUUAACAGACGUGCUGUCCAGAUGUUUGUCAAAGAUGUGCUCGAUCUCAAAAAGGAGUAUCUGCACAUUGGGAGACUCCAGCUUUCAGAGGAGGAGCCCAAACUGCUUUAACCCUCCUACUGUCCUCAAAUAUUACUAACAUAUUUUACCCUUGGGGUCAAUCUGACCCCAGGGAUAUUUGCUUACAGAAAAUAAUUUUCAGAAUAUUAUUGAUCAAGUUUUUGGCACUUUUGUUUAUUUGCUGAAUACAUGAAUAGCCCCUUGAUAAUGAAACCUCUGACGCUCCCUAGAAGUGCACAUUCAUAACUCUCACAGAAUGAACCUUAUUGAAUGAUGAUGUUGACCCCCCCUUUAUUCUUAUAAACAUGUUUUUAGCUCCUUUUAUUGUAACAUAUUUGGGGUUAUUCUACUUGACGUAAUGUUAUGCUUAAUCAAUGUACACAUCAAAUUAGGAAAAGUCAUGAAAUAGAAAGCAUAAAAGGGUCAACUAUUAUUUUUUUAAUAAUAAACAUUGAAUGGGGUCAAAUUGACCCCA